AGCAGCCGCGGUAAUUCCAGCUCCAAUAGCGUAUAUUAAAGUUGUUGCAGUUAAAAAAGCUCGUAGUUGAAUUUCGGGAUUAGUACGCUGGUCGUGCCUUCGGUACGUACUGGUUUUACUGAUUUCUACCUUCUGACGAACCAUCAUGUCAUUAAUUUGGUGUGGUGGGGAAUCAGGACUGUUACUUUGAAAAAAUUAGAGUGUUUAAAGCAGGCUCGCGCUUGAAUACAUUAGCAUGGAAUAAUGAAAUAGGACGUUGAUCCUAUUUUUGUUGGUUUCUAGGAUUGACGUAAUGAUUAAUAGGGAUAGUUGGGGGGCAUUAGUAUUCAAUUGUCAGAGGUGAAAUUCUUGGAUUUAUUGAAGACUAACUACUGCGAAAGCAUUUGCCAAGGAUGUUUUCAUUAAUCAAGAACGAAAGUUAGGGGAUCGAAGACGAUCAGAUA
RNAcentral lists this ribosomal RNA (443 nucleotides) under uncultured Glomeromycotina. Its description in RNAcentral is "SSU rRNA". It matches the Rfam family "Eukaryotic small subunit ribosomal RNA", at positions 569 to 1014 of the family's 1831-position model. The record is from RNAcentral. Lineage: Eukaryota; Fungi; Glomeromycota.